Molecule: long non-coding RNA, 5199 nt
Organism: Columba livia (rock pigeon)
Lineage: Eukaryota; Metazoa; Chordata; Aves; Columbiformes; Columbidae
Exons: 5
Source: RefSeq, a predicted model, not a curated record
UGGUGAUGAUGUUCCCUCCAGACCAUGAGAGGUGUCUCAGCUUAAGGCUUAUGGGCUGCAAGUUCCUUGAAGCAUCCUUCUUGUUUCCUUGAAGUAUCCUUCUUUCUCAAUGCUCAUAGUUAAAUUCACACCUAAGCCUGUUCUGUAAUUUAUGGCAAUAGCCUCUUCUCUCCCCCUUGGAUAUUCCUGUGCUCAGUUAUAUCUUUGCCACCAAAGACACAACUUCCUUAAUCUUUCUUCCUCUUUCAUUAAAUUCGCAGCUUUGGUAGAUAUUGUGGAAUCUGGCCCUGUUUUCCACCCUGCAGACUUGCAAGGCAGCAACAUCAUUUAAGCACCAUAUGGUUCUCGACAAAGUCAGGUUUCACAUCCAACCUAAACAAUUUAAUAUUAUCAAAAGCCCAAGCUCAGUGCAGCAAUAACAACCCCUGCUUCCUCUCCCUGCAUUGUAUAACAAGAGGAAGAAAGCUCUCAAACCAAGCACUCUGCUAUGAUCUUGAACAGGGAUGGCAGGGCUGGGGAAAAGCCUUUGUAGCACCCUCAUUAUGUUCACAGGACAACGAGCAUCCACCUGGACCACAAAGGAAGUACAAACCCAGGGGCUCGGAUUCCAGUCCCCACUGAAUUUGAUGCACGCAAAUAUUUUCUGGCAGAGUUAAUGAAUUCAGCAUGAGGACAUGCUGGGUGGGGACAGGGAAGCUGGACUGAGUAUUCAUUCCUCAAGCCACACUGGUGAUACAGUGAUUAGAAAAGACCGAGGCUUCAACUUCCUUGCUUAAUAGACUAAGAGGUCUCUGUAGAUGAUGAGUAAUGCUGCAUGGAGCCAAAAUGGAACAGGAACCCUGAGACGGCUUUUGCUGCAGUACCUUGUAGCAAUCAGAAAUUAUUAUCCUUGUUGUGCUAUGAUGCUAUCAGUUGGCUGUGGACUUUGCAUUGAGUCACAGCACUCAGCAUCCCAACAGGUCACAGACACUUGCAUUGCAUCUGAGGAACUGCAAUUACGUGGCUGUGCUUGCAUCCAGUGGGAUCUCCAUCGAGAUCGGUACCAUGAGGGCUCUUGCUAUUCCCUCAGCCAAGAACAGGGCUUGCCUGGCCAUGGGGAUGCUCAGCCCAGGAGCUGAGUGUCCAGGUCAUGUGCCGGCAUCUCGGUACAAAAUACAUCCUGGUGAAGGGAUGGGAGGGAGACAUGUAGACCCGUCAGGUGCCAUGUGUAGGUCUGUUCCAUUUGCUUGUUGGGAGCAUAGCUUUCUCCUCUUCAUAGGAGAAUAAGAAGAAAGAAUAAAUGCUGGUUUGAUGUAAAAAAAAAUAUCCAGUUACAGAUUAAUUAGCAUUUUAAAGAGCUGUGGGUGCUUUUUAGAAGAGAGAGAAAUGUAGCUACCAGACCAGAUUCAGACAGAAGUGAUGAUCUACAAGUGUUUUCUCAGUAACUGGAGGGCAAACAUGUUGUUAGAGAUGUUAGCAGUGGGGUGUCUGCUAUCUGGGACUAAAUAAAUUAUGUCUGCAAGCUGAUGCUCCUUGUGAAGAGACAAAAGCACCCAGAUGUAGCAUUUCCUACCAAGAUGCAACGUAGGAUUUGCCGGGGAGAGGUUGUGUUCAGGUGAGAUACAGCUCCUUAGCAAGAAAAGGAUUACCCGUGCAGAUUACAAUCAGUUAACAAAACAGUCCUUUCUUACAAGGGCCUAACCCUGAUAUAGCAGGACAGGCACCGAGAAAUAAGAUGCAGGGGAUGUUUUCUGUAUUCUCUUUGUUGGAGUAUGUGGAUUGAAUAUGGGUUUUGUGAUCUCAGCAUCUCCAUGUUGAUAUUGGGAAGGGCUCCCUGAGGAAAUGGUGGAGAGCUUUUGGAGAAGACGUGAAGUCAAAACAGAUUGCUACAGCCUGCAAAAAACGUAGCUCAUUCAUAACAAAAUGCAAAAUUCGGCCUCUGGGAUGCAGGAGAAAAUCAAUAAAAAGUUCUUAAUUCUGCUUGCUCAGCAUCAAUGUUUGUUUACUUUCUGCUGUGGAAAAAGGACUAACGAAUGUUACUUUAAAUGCAGCUAAUUAGGUGUGGUCUUUCGAAAAAUUCAUAUUGUGCCUUGAUGAAAUCUUCAUACUGCCAACAAUAAAUCUGGUUGGACUAUAUCAGGAAUAUGUUGCUAUCACAUGGUUUACCAGCAAUGUUUUUGUUAGUUGUAGCCUUUUGGCUGGAAAGCAGAAGGGACCUUUUACCCUGAAAACAACCACGGUCCUGUAACCCCAGCUGAACAGAUCUGCUACUGAUGUGCAACAGCACUGCUGAAGCCUUAGGAAAUGCAGUAUCGGAUGAUGAAAAGGAGCUGGUUGCCACACCAGAUCCUGCCUUCCCCUCUGCCUUUGGCAGCUACAAAGAGGCAGGCACAGGGAAUAACGUUUUUGCACUGGGCUGUGUUUGUGUUUGUGGUGAAAACGGAAACCGGUGAAGUUCAGUUGAGCUGGAGGAUAGUCCUGCUAAAUGCUUGGAUUCAGAAUCAGCAGAGAGUGCUGAAGACCAGAAACAUUCCUGCCCUGGAAAAAAGCAACAUUCACUGUGCUUCAGUGGCUGAGAAUCCUGCCCAUGCUCAUGAACAUCUGCAAGACCUGAGAUAAAACAGGAGCUGCAGUAUGCUGCCGGCACAUGAGAAUAGCAUCGAAAAUACUUUGGAAAAAAAAUAUUUAGAAAUAAAGAACUUUGAAGAUCUUGGUUGGUGAAGAUCUUCCAGCUCAAUCAGGUUUGAAAUCCAGUUAGAAUCAUAGAAUGUCCUGAGCUGGAAGGGACCCACAAGGAUCAUCGGUUCCAACUCCUGUCCCUGCACAGGACAACCCCACAGUUCACACCGUGUGUCUGAGGACGUUGUCCAGACUCUUCUUGAACACUGUCAGGCUUGGGGCUGUGACACCUCCCUGGGGAACCUGUUCCAGUGUCCAGCACGCUCUGCGUGAAGAACCUUUUCCUCAUGUCCAACCUAAUCCUCCCCUGGCACAUCUUCCUGCCAUUCCCUUGGUUUCUGUCACUGGUCACUAAAAAGAAGAGAUCAACGGCUGCCCUUCUGUGUUCUGUGUUAUUUCAACAUCUGGCACAGCAAGAAAGAAGUACCCAGGUUGCUAGUGGUGGGAAGGAGCAAAAUAAAAAUAAAACCCUUUGAAACUUCUGGAGAAAACACCAUCCCCCCUAAAUUCAAUGGCAAAACCUUCACAGAUCUCAUUAUAGCCAGAUUUUCAUCAGCCUUCGAUUUUAGUGGAGCUGCCCACAUGCUUACAGCAGUGUCUUAACAAGCUUUUGCAAACUUGGAGCCUUAACUCAUGGUCCCAGCUGCUGGAGGUGGGAAAGAUAUAUUAGUGCAGCUUUUUGCCAUGUGGAAGACUGUUCUCUACAUGACAUUAAUUGCUCUCUGCCUAGCUUAAUAAGAGUCUGCUUUCAGCAGCCGAAUAUAACCGUGUAAUCGGAAGAAUUUCUGUUUAUUGUUAAAAUGUUUUCAUGCCUAGAAAAUGAGGACUUCUGGAGUGUGUCUGAUGGGAACACGAUAUGGGCGUUAGAAACAAGCGCAAAUGUCUGGAGUGCUGAGCUGUGAUUUGCUCUGCAGCUACCCCAUGCCCUGCUCUGCGAUCAGCUGCUGCUGAUGUAGAAUUUAAUUUCAGAUUAAGGAGCCUAAGGCAACAAGGACUUUUCAUUAUAAGUGAGGAAAUAGCGUGCCAGUUAUGCUGCCUGCUUGCAUGUGCUUUGUGUGUGUGAGCACACAAGCAUAACCAUCCAUCAUGAUGGGAAAUGAUGAGCAGCUGGGACGUGUCCUCAGCACAUGCAUAAGUCCUGCAGUGAGGGUGAUUUGUCAGACAUGUUACUGCUUUCCCACAGCAGGAAUGGCACAGAAAUGGCAUCAGUAACGUCCUUCUUCCCAGGAUAAUCCCAUGCCAGCUGUCCACAUCACCCCCCACACCUACUGUCACGGCAUGCCGUGCAAGGAAGGAAAGGACAGUCCGUCCUUCGGAGUAGCAGCUUUAGGAUGCUGUCAGCUUUGGCCAUGACUCUGGCACCCAGCAUGCCCUCUGGUCCUCUUCCCCCCAGGAGGUUGACGAUGUGUUUUGCACAGGGAGAGGGCUUCAGGGCAGUAGCAUAUCAUUCUAGAGAGGGACUUUCUCCAGGAACCAUAUCACAGGUGCCUUCACAUCUUGCAAGGAGCUGUGCUGGAGAAAGCUGAGCUCAACAAAAGACACCUUGCCCUCCCCCCUAAAACUCUACUGCUUAUGUUUUUAAAUUGGGCAGCACGUUCUCAGCCAAAUUAACUGGUGCUCAGCUGGUUCAUCUUGCCUAAACACUCCCACAUCCCAAGCCCCAGACUAGGGUCCACUGGGUCUCACCUGGAUCUAAUUAGCGCUGGAAGAAAAUGAAAACAAUACGUUUGAGAAGCUGUGUCAGAAACAGGCAGUUUUCAAAGGUUCUUUUUGCCUAGGGGCGUUCAGUGAAGAAGGCCACCAUGCUGGAACAUCAGGCUGUGUGUCAGCGGACACAUCUGCAGCGUGUCCCCACUCUAAGCAUCACAAUGAGUGGUUCCUACAGCACUUGGUGGCUGAGCUGCAGUGGCGGCAAGGACCUGUUUGAGAAGAGUUUGGGUGUAAAUCAAGUGUUUCCCAGAGACCUGAGAGACACCAGCAAAAGUCCUGGCGCUGCUUCCACCCUGCAGGGAGGGUAAAAGUGGAGGUCGCGUCCCGAAGGGCCGGUGCUGAGUUAUCAGGAGGGGGAGCUCUGACCACACAACCCAGCUACAAGUCCCGGAUUUCUGCCCGUAUUUUCAGUUCCUGCUGGUCUGUAUUGGCUUGUGCACUAGUGCAUUAGUGCCCACUCCCAUCUCACUCUGAUUUAUACACCUGCAAUAAAGAUCUUUGCAUCACCGUCAUUCAUUCAUGGAAAUGAGAUCCCCCACUAUGGCACUUCUGGGGUUCCCCAGGAGACAUCGCAGAAUAUGGUACCUGGUAGGGGGACCUUUCCCUGUCACAGCACAAAGCAUCAGUCCCUGUGGCCCUCUCUGUGUUUAUGGUGUACUGGUGAAGCUUUUCAUAAGCAGUUGUUCUUGAUGGAAGUUUUUAACACUUUGCAUCUGUAAUGCUGAACAAAAUGUGUCUUGCAGAAUGCUUUUGAGAAAAAAAAAAAUAAAAUCCAGUCGUUUAAGUUCUUAUAAAAAGACUGCAAUGAAUAUAGAAGCUUUUUUUAAAUGC